RNAcentral lists this ribosomal RNA (490 nucleotides) under uncultured bacterium. RNAcentral describes it as "partial 16S ribosomal RNA". It matches the Rfam family "Bacterial small subunit ribosomal RNA", at positions 28 to 507 of the family's 1533-position model. The record is from RNAcentral.
GAUGAACGCUAGCUACAGGCUUAACACAUGCAAGUCGCAGGGUAACAUGAGGAAAGCUUGCUUUCCUUGAUGACGACUGGCGCACGGGUGAGUAACGCGUAUCCAACCUUCCCAUAACUACGGGAUAACCCGUUGAAAGACGGCCUAAUACCGUAUGAUAUCGUUUGCUGACAUCAAAUAACGAUUAAAGGUUUAGCGGUUAUGGAUGGGGAUGCGUCUGAUUAGCUUGUUGGCGGGGUAACGGCCCACCAAGGCGACGAUCAGUAGGGGUUCUGAGAGGAAGGUCCCCCACAUUGGAACUGAGACACGGUCCAAACUCCUACGGGAGGCAGCAGUGAGGAAUAUUGGUCAAUGGGCGAGAGCCUGAACCAGCCAAGUAGCGUGCAGGACGACGGCCCUAUGGGUGGUAAACUGCUUUUAUGUGGGGAUAAAGUGCGUGACGUGUCAUGCAUUGCAGGUACCACAUGAAUAAGGACCGGCUAAUUCCGUG